GUUGGUCAUGCGUUUCUCCUGCGUUGCUGAAAUGAGUCAAGCAGGAAAAUGGCUCGCGUCAAGUUUUGGGGUGGUCUCGAAUUUCGUCCACCUCGAGAAUCAAAAAGUCUGAAAAAAAAGUCUUAAAAGAAAGAAGCAAGAGCGCACUGAUGCAAUGUCUUCGACAUAGCGCGCGCCAGGUGCUACGCCCCCGGACCCCCAAGC
RNAcentral lists this small RNA (204 nucleotides) under Xanthomonas campestris pv. campestris. Its description in RNAcentral is "ncRNA of unknown function". The record is from RNAcentral. Lineage: Bacteria; Pseudomonadati; Pseudomonadota; Gammaproteobacteria; Lysobacterales; Lysobacteraceae.